AGAGUUUGAUCAUGGCUCAGGAUGUACGCUAGCUACAGGCUUAACACAUGCAAGUCGAGGGGAAACGAUAGAGAAAGCUUGCUUUUUCUAGGCGUCGACCGGCGCACGGGUGAGUAACGCGUAUCCAACCUGCCCACCACUUGGGGAUAACCUUGCGAAAGUAAGACUAAUACCCAAUGACGUCUCUAGAAGACAUCUGAAAGGGAUUAAAGAUUUAUCGGUGAUGGAUGGGGAUGCGUCUGAUUAGCUUGUUGGCGGGGUAACGGCCCACCAAGGCAACGAUCAGUAGGGGUUCUGAGAGGAAGGUCCCCCACAUUGGAACUGAGACACGGUCCAAACUCCUACGGGAGGCAGCAGUGAGGAAUAUUGGUCAAUGGGCGAGAGCCUGAACCAGCCAAGUAGCGUGCAGGAUGACGGCCCUAUGGGUUGUAAACUGCUUUUAUAAGGGAAUAAAGUGAGCCUCGUGAGGCUUUUUGCAUGUACCUUAUGAAUAAGGACCGGCUAAUUCCGUGCCAGCAGCCGCGGUAAUACGGAAGGUCCGGGCGUUAUCCGGACUUAUUGGGUUUAAAGGGAGCGUAGGCCGGAGAUUAAGCGUGUUGUGAAAUGUAGAUGCUCAACAUCUGCACUGCAGCGCGAACUGGUUUCCUUGAGUACGCACAAAGUGGGCGGAAUUCGCGGUGUAGCGGUGAAAUGCUUAGAUAUCACGAAGAACUCCGAUUGCGAAGGCAGCUCACUGGAGCGCAACUGACGCUGAAGCUCGAAAGUGCGGGUAUCGAACAGGAUUAGAUACCCUGGUAGUCCGCACGGUAAACGAUGGAUGCCCGCUGUUGGUCUGAAUAGGUCAGCGGCCAAGCGAAAGCAUUAAGCA
Molecule: ribosomal RNA, 868 nt
Filed under: uncultured bacterium
Lineage: Bacteria
Description: bacterial SSU rRNA
Rfam family: Bacterial small subunit ribosomal RNA
Source: RNAcentral